AGCAGUCGCCGCGGUAAUACGUAGGGUGCAAGCGUUAUCCGGAAUUAUUGGGCGUAAAGAGCUCGUAGGCGGUCUGUCGCGUCUGCUGUGAAAACCCGAGGCUCAACCUCGGGCCUGCAGUGGGUAUGGGCAGACUAGAGUGCGGUAGGGGAGAUUGGAAUUCCUGGUGUAGCGGUGGAAUGCGCAGAUAUCAGGAGGAACACCGAUGGCGAAGGCAGAUCUCUGGGCCGUAACUGACGCUGAGGAGCGAAAGCGUGGGGAGCGAACAGGAUUAGAGACCCCUGUAGUCCCUGUCUCUUAUAC
This 303-nucleotide ribosomal RNA is filed under the name uncultured bacterium. RNAcentral's name for it is "partial 16S ribosomal RNA". It matches the Rfam family "Bacterial small subunit ribosomal RNA", at positions 507 to 807 of the family's 1533-position model. The record is from RNAcentral.